Long non-coding RNA from Arabidopsis lyrata subsp. lyrata, 448 nucleotides. RefSeq lists it as uncharacterized. NCBI's taxonomy places the organism in Eukaryota, Viridiplantae, Streptophyta, Magnoliopsida, Brassicales, Brassicaceae. The transcript has 2 exons. The record is from RefSeq and is a predicted model, not a curated record.
UCCCGCAUUGGUUUAUUGCAGAUACUUGGUCCCACGAGACAUGACUGUUGGACAUUUCAUUCAUAUGCUAAGCAAAAGGAUGCACUUAGAUCGAUCCAAAGCUCUCUUUGUUUUCGUACACAACACACUUCCUCAAACCGCUAGUCGCAUGGACUCUCUCUACAAUACUUUCAAAGAAGAAGAUGGGUUCUUGUACAUGUGCUACAGCACCGAGAAAACUUUUGGCUAACCAAAGAUUUGUCGCUUCAUAUCUGAUCGAAGCGCACUCUGAAUAAUCCAUUUGUUUGAUUCUUAUGUUUGUGAAUAACGUCAGCUCUUGUUGUUGUUAUUGUUAUUGUUAGCUGACAUUGUACAGAAAAGCUAAAAAAAAAAAACAUUUGACUUUGUAAAUUAUUUAUAACUCAAAUAUGGCAAUAAUAAGACAGGUGAUGAUGAUUCACACGAAACC